UACGGAGGGUGCAAGCGUUGCUCGGAAUCACUGGGCGUAAAGGGCGUGUAGGCGGUCUCGUAUGUCUGACGUGAAAGCCCCGGGCUCAACCCGGGAAGUGCGUUGGAAACUGCGAGACUAGAGUCUCGGAGAGGAAGGUGGAAUUCCAGGUGUAGCGGUGAAAUGCGUAGAUAUCAGGAAGAACACCUAUGGCGAAGGCAGCUCUCUGGGACGGUACUGACGCUGAGACGCGAAAGCGUGGGGAGCGAACAGG
RNAcentral lists this ribosomal RNA (253 nucleotides) under uncultured bacterium. RNAcentral describes it as "partial 16S ribosomal RNA". It matches the Rfam family "Bacterial small subunit ribosomal RNA", at positions 524 to 776 of the family's 1533-position model. The record is from RNAcentral.